Molecule: ribosomal RNA, 312 nt
Filed under: Archaeosporaceae sp.
Lineage: Eukaryota; Fungi; Glomeromycota; Glomeromycetes; Archaeosporales; Archaeosporaceae
Description: LSU rRNA
Source: RNAcentral
AAACGAUUGAAGUCAGUCAUGCCGGUGAGAAAUCAGCUCAUAGGCUACUAUGGGUGCACUUUUUCGCAAGGCAGGUUAACAUCGGUUUCUGUUGCGUCAUAAUGAUUGUAGGAAGGUGGCUCCUUCGGGAGUGUUAUAGCCUACUUUAGAUGGCGUGAUGGGGACUGAGGAUUGCAGCGGAUGCUUUGCUACGAAUCUUGUCUCUGUCGAUCUUCAAUUAGUUUUCAGCUUGCUGAGCUCGGGUUGAUAGGUUUACAAUAGGUUUGAAUUCGUUAAAUUCGCUAAGGAUGUUGACGUAAUGGCUUUAAACGA